AUAUUCCGCAAUGGAGGAAACUCUGACGCAGCGACGCCGCGUGAGCGAUGAAGGUNUUNNGAUCGNANAGCUCUGUCCUUGGGNNNNNAGAUCGAAAGAUUUGACGGUACUCGAGGAGGAAGCCCCGGCUAACUACGUGCCAUCAGCCGGGGUAAUACGUAGGGGGCAAGUGUUGUCCGGAAUUAUUGGGCGUAAAGGGUGCGUAGGCGGUUUUUUAAGUAAGAUGUGAAAGACCACGGCUUAACCGUGGGGUUGCAUUUGAAACUGGAAGGCUUGAGUAUCGGAGAGGGUAGUGGAAUUCCCAGUGUAGCGGUGAAAUGCGUAGAUAUUGGGAGGAACACCAGUGGCGAAGGCGACUACCUGGACGAAAACUGACGCUGAUGCACGAAAGCUAGGGGAGCAAACA
RNAcentral lists this ribosomal RNA (406 nucleotides) under uncultured bacterium. RNAcentral describes it as "partial 16S ribosomal RNA". It matches the Rfam family "Bacterial small subunit ribosomal RNA", at positions 361 to 774 of the family's 1533-position model. The record is from RNAcentral.